Molecule: ribosomal RNA, 520 nt
Filed under: uncultured bacterium
Lineage: Bacteria
Description: bacterial SSU rRNA
Rfam family: Archaeal small subunit ribosomal RNA
Source: RNAcentral
AACCUCCGCAAUGUGAGAAAUCGCGACGGGGGGAUCCCAAGUGCCAUUCUUAACGGGAUGGCUUUUCUUAAGUGUAAAAAGCUUUUGGAAUAAGAGCUGGGCAAGACCGGUGCCAGCCGCCGCGGUAACACCGGCAGCUCUAGUGGUAGCUGUUUUUAUUGGGCCUAAAGCGUUCGUAGCCGGUUUGAUAAGUCACUGGUGAAAUCCUGUAGCUUAACUGUGGGAAUUGCUGGUGAUACUGUUGAACUUGAGGUCGGGAGAGGUUAGCGGUACUCCCAGGGUAGAGGUGAAAUUCUGUAAUCCUGGGAGGACCGCCUGUUGCGAAGGCGUCUAACUGGAACGGUUCUGACGGUGAGGGACGAAAGUUAGGGGCGCGAACCGGAUUAGAUACCCGGGUAGUCCUAACUGUAAACGAUGCGGACUUGGUGUUGGGUGGCUUUGAGCUGCUCCAGUGCCGAAGGGAAGCUGUUAAGUCCGCCGCCCGGGAAGUACGGUCGCAAGACUGAAACUUAAAGGAAUU